RNAcentral lists this ribosomal RNA (497 nucleotides) under uncultured bacterium. RNAcentral's name for it is "partial 16S ribosomal RNA". It matches the Rfam family "Bacterial small subunit ribosomal RNA", at positions 28 to 507 of the family's 1533-position model. The record is from RNAcentral.
GAUGAACGCUGGCGGCGUGCCUAAUACAUGCAAGUCGAGCGAACAGACGAGGAGCUUGCUCCUCUGACGUUAGCGGCGGACGGGUGAGUAACACGUGGAUAACCUACCUAUAAGACUGGGAUAACUUCGGGAAACCGGAGCUAAUACCGGAUAAUAUAUUGAACCGCAUGGUUCAAUAGUGAAAGACGGUUUUGCUGUCACUUAUAGAUGGAUCCGCGCCGCAUUAGCUAGUUGGUAAGGUAACGGCUUACCAAGGCAACGAUGCGUAGCCGACCUGAGAGGGUGAUCGGCCACACUGGAACUGAGACACGGUCCAGAGUCCUACGGGAGGCAGCAGUAGGGAAUCUUCCGCAAUGGGCGAAAGCCUGACGGAGCAACGCCGAGUGAGUGAUGAAGGUCUUCGGAUCGUAAAACUCUGUUAUUAGGGAAGAACAAAUGUGUAAGUAACUAUGCACGUCUUGACGGUACCUAAUCAGAAAGCCACGGCUAACUACGUG